UUAUAUAAAGACAUGUUAUAUGGCUAAAGUAUCUGUUGAGUAUCUGUAACAUUAGACGGCUAAAGUAACAUUAGACGGCUAAGUACAUAAUGUACGAGAAAGUAAAGAAAAUAGCAGGUUAUUUGACAGCAGCUACAAAUAAAAAUGACAGACAACAUGCAUUGAUAACUAGUGCAUUGUGCUGAUUUGUUCCCGCUAAACAUGACUAAGAUGACUACAAACAACACGGGCAUGAUGAAGGAUAUUAUACUAAUUCGACCGAAAGCAUCCAAACAGGAUAUCCUUCCAAUUGAAAUCUGGUGCGACAACCGAUACCUCAUGGGAGCGUUGGCCGACGUCCUACAUCUUUGGAUGAGCCUCGGAAAGACAUUGCUUUCUGAAGCUCGGCCCGUAACGUGUCUACAUUUUCGUCUCUAGUCUUUUCUGUCUAAUUUCGUCACGUGCUUUAAUUAGGGACCUCUUUGGCCACCUACAACUUCGCCUUCAUCGUACCAUUCAAAGAAGUUGGCCACCCCGUAACUCCUCGUCGACCUCAAAGUCUGUGUCCUGCGGUAUGACAGAAGUCACACGUACCUACACAUACCGUUUUUGGAGACGUAUAUUUGGAAAAAUCAAAUGAAUGAUUAGCCGGUUACAAAAGAAGUGAAUCAUUAUAUAUACACUAUGAUAUUCUUCCAGGACCGGCUACUUUUAAAACUGUAUGUCUAACUCAGUUGUUUUCCUGCUACAUUGACUAAAAUAGUCAUAAUCAACAACACGAUUCUGUUGGCCGGCUAUUGUAUAGAGUACAUGUAUAAUGUAGUCAAUGUCCAGCUAUACGUGUGUGGUGGAAAGCAAAUGAAGGAUGAGGAGUUUGUGAAGGGGCUUACUUUUUUAGCGGCAUCCAAGGUCCUUGCGUGCGCUGGGUUGAUACGAGGGGAUGUGUGAAAAAUCAGCAACUUCAGCACCAGCCAACUCUGACGUAAAGUCUUGCCGGAUAACUUCAGUAAGAGCAGGAACGACUAUUGUAUAGAGUACAUGAUUCAAAAAAAUACAGGAAAAAAUUUACAAGAACGAACAAGAGGAUAUCGAAUACGGUGAGCCGAGAAAACAGAAUCAAGCGAUCGGGAUUCUGCCAGAGAGAUAGAGGCGAUUGAGUUAGAAGGAGAUUUAUUCCAAGGUUUCUUCGUCGAAACCCAGUAAAGAGGAAGAGAUAUGGCAGAUUUUAACAAAUCAUGGUUUCGACGGAUAAAUCAGAGAUGAGAGAUGAAAGAAUGAAAUUGCGGAAAAAUCAAAAGAGGAAGAGAGAGGAUAAAUAUGAUUUCGAAAUGUAUUGGUUGUAGUGAUGAGAUUUCUCAUUCUAUCUCUUACUUCACGC
RNAcentral lists this long non-coding RNA (1357 nucleotides) under Brassica napus (rape). RNAcentral describes it as "long non-coding RNA (BNAP_LNC002712)". Lineage: Eukaryota; Viridiplantae; Streptophyta; Magnoliopsida; Brassicales; Brassicaceae. The record is from RNAcentral.